UGCGCAGGCGGUCUUGUCCGUCAGGUGUGAAAGCUCGGGGCUCAAACCCCCGGAAGCGCACUUGAAACAGCAAGACUUGAAUACGGGAGAGGAGAGAGGAAUUCCUGGUGUAGAGGUGAAAUUCGUAGAUAUCAGGAGGAACACCGAUGGCGAAGGCAUCUCUCUGGACCGAUAUUGACGCUGAGGCGCGAAGGCGUGGGUAGCGAACG
This 209-nucleotide ribosomal RNA is filed under the name uncultured bacterium. RNAcentral describes it as "partial 16S ribosomal RNA". It matches the Rfam family "Bacterial small subunit ribosomal RNA", at positions 568 to 774 of the family's 1533-position model. The record is from RNAcentral.